Molecule: long non-coding RNA, 4152 nt
Organism: Rhincodon typus (whale shark)
Lineage: Eukaryota; Metazoa; Chordata; Chondrichthyes; Orectolobiformes; Rhincodontidae
Exons: 3
Source: RefSeq, a predicted model, not a curated record
CACCGAUCACAGAGCUUUGGACCCGGGGAUUGGGGAGAGGGCGUGGUGGUCAUGGUGAGCUGCCCUCCCUCAGUGCGGGGACUGGUUGCGGGGGGGGGGGGUAAGGGCACCAUUUUUUCCUGGCUUCGCCCCUGACCUCCCGGCUCCCCCCCCACUCUCCCGCAGGUUCACAAAGUCUUUCCGAAUGGCCUGGCCGCUCAGGAGGGGACGAUCGAGCGAGGGGACGAAGUCCUGUCCAUUAACGGGAACCUCCUGAAGGACAUCAGCCACAGUGAGGCCCUGUCUUACCUCCACAAAGUCAGGCCUUCCAAGCAGGCCAUCGUCGUGAUCCGCAAGGUGCCUGAGUCGGAGAGAGCCGCCCUGCGCAGGGGAGGGGUCUGCAGCCAGAUGCCGCUGGCCAGUAGCGACAUGCCAGAGAGUUUGGGAGAAUUUAUCACAGUCGAGCUGGAAAAGACAAGUACAGGACUUGGCUUCAGUCUGGAUGGGGGCAAGAGCUCGAGUCAAGGAGACAGACCACUCACCAUCAAGAAGGUCUUCCAAGGUGGUGCCAGCGAUCAGUCGGGUUUGAUCCAACCCGGGGACCAACUGGUUAAGGUGUGUGACCAUGACUACCGGGGCCUAACUUGCUACGAAGCCUGGAAUCUCAUCAAGGCCCUACCCCCGGGCCCUGUGAAGGUGGUGAUAUGUAAAAAGACACUUUAAAUAGGCAGAAGCGGGGUUGGCCCGCCGAGGGAAACAUGGCCGCCACCGUGCGGAGCCGAGGACCCAACAGUGCGUUGAGAUAGCUUCCUUCGUCCUUGCCUGUUUUUCUCGAUCUCGUUUCAACAGCCAACUUGGACACUGUUAUCUCAAGGAUCCAGACAGACUCGAAAGGGACCAAAUCGGUUUUGAUGGAAUAUACCAGGCCAGAUAUUUGGCUGGAAAGGCCCCAGAGGUGUGGUAUCUCGAGGUGGCCUAACCAUAAACGGUUGGAAUGAUCAUGUAAUGUCAAUGAUUAGGCCUCACGUUAGUCCUGUCUUUAGUUCUGACCCUACCCCUCCCCUCCCCAUCAUUUCCCCAAUGCCUCAGUUUCUAUUGGCCUUGUAGAGGGGGCCCGGGCAAAACUGGGUAUCGCUCUCCGGUGGUUGGAGUCAUAGCCUGACACGUAGGAAGAUGGUUGUAGUUGUGGGAGGUCAAUCAUCUCACCUCCAGGAUGUCUGUGCAGGAGUUCCUCAGGGUAGUGUCCUAGGCCCAACCAUCUUCAGUUGCUUCAUCAACGACCUUCCCUCCGUCAUAAGGUCAGAAGUGGGAAUGUUCGCCGAUGAUUGCACAAUGUUCAGUACCAUUCGCGACUCCUCAGAUACUGAAGCAGUUCAUGUUCAAAUGCAACAAGAUCUGGGCAAUAUCCAGGCUUGGGCUGACCAGUGGCAAGUGACAUUCGCGCCACACAAAUGCCAGGCUAUGCCAUCUCCAAUAAGAAAGAAUCUAACCUUUUGACACUCAAUGAUGUUACCAUCACUGAAUCCCCCUCACUAUCAACAUCCUGGGGGUUACUAUUGAGAGAGAAUUUAAUCAUUGCCCCCUUGAUGUUCAAUGGUGUUACCAUCACCGAAUCCCACUCACUAUCAACAUCCUGGGGGUUACCACUGACCAGAAACUCAACUGGACCCAGCCCCCUAUCAAUACAGUGGCUACAAGAGCAGGUCAGAGGGGAGAUGGUGGGGAGAUUGUAAAUUUCAAACCAGAGAUUGCUAGAUUUGUGAGCUGGGCAAGGAGACGGUUUCAGGAUUAUGGAGCGAAAACAGAUAGAUGGGGUUGAGGUACAGAUCAUCCAUGGCCAAACGGAAGGCAGGACAAGCUCAACGGGCCGAAUGGCCUGUUCCUGUGUUGCAGACUCGAGAGGGGCUGUGUUUUUUUUUUCCUUAAUUCGUUCAUAGGAACGUGGGGAGCAUUGGCAGGGCCCAGGCAUUACUGCCUGUCGCUAAUUACCCAGAGGGCGGGUAAGAGUCAGCCCCUGUCGCUGUGGGUCAGGAGUCACGUGUAAGCCCAGACCCAGUGAGGACGAGAGACUUCCUUCACUACCUGACGUUUGCGAAGCCUACAGGGCUUUACAACAAUUAACAGCAUUCACUUGAUCGCUGUUCGGCCGUCUUUCCAAUGCCAGAUUUUUAUUGGACUUGAAUUUCGCCGUUUGCUGUAGCGAGAUUCGAACCUGCAUCCCCCAGAACGUUGGUUCGGAAGUCUGGGGUUCGUCAUUCACCAUCGUCAUCUAAUCCUGUUUCUGUGCAACAGGCUCGAGGAGUGGGGUCUGAAUGGCCUCCUGUUUCUUGUGUAACAGGCUCGAGGAGGGGGGCUGAAUGCCCUGCUGUUUCUUGUGUAACAAGCUCGAGGAGUGGAGGGCUGAAUGGCCUCCUGUUUCUUGUGUAAUAGGCUCGAGGAGGGGGGCGCUGAAUGGCCUCCUGUUUCUUGUGUAACAGGCUCGAGGAGGGGGGUGCUGAAUGGCGUCCUGUUUCUUGUGUAACAGGCUCGAGGAGUGGAGGGCUGAAUGGCCUCCUGUUUCUUGUAUAACAAGCUCGAGGAGUGGAGGGCUGAAUGGCCUCCUGUUUCUUGUGUAACAAGCUCGAGGAGUGGAGGGCUGAAUGGCCUCCUGUUUCUUGUGUAACAGGCUCGAGGAGGGGGCUGCUGAAAGACCUCCUCUUGUUCCUAUGUAACAGGCUUGAGGAGGGGGCUGAAUGGUCUCCUGUUCAGGGUGGGGAGGGGGGUGAAUGGCCUCCUCAUGUUUCCCUAUAACAGACUCGAAGUGGGUGGGGGCGCUGAAUGGCCUCCUCCUGUUCCUGUGUAACAGGCUCCGAAUGGGCCUCAUUGUGAGUUGUGUUUACACUGCUGCUUUGUCUGAGCGGGGCUGGGGGGAGAGCACAGUGGGCGGGUGCGCGUUCUGAGCAAGCCUCGCUUAGCAACAGGCUGCUGAUUGGGCAGGGAGUCGUUGGCGUGACAACACCUCUCUGACUCCUGGGGGGACGGACAGAGAGUGUGAACCAUGCAGAGAGACUGCAAGAGACAGUACCUCGCAAUUAAUGCGUCAAUUAAAAAAACCGAAAGAUCUGCAGAUGCUGUAAAUCGGGAACAAAAUCAGAAGUUGCUGGAAAAGCUCAGCAGGUCUGGCAGCAGGAAAAAAAAUAGAGUUAACGUUUCGGGUCCAGUGACCCUUCCUCUGAACUAGAACUCAGUACCAACCCAACUUAUGUCUUCAGAAAGAACUUGCUUCUCAUACAGUUGAAAAAGGUGUUUGGUACACUUGCCUUCAUUGCUCAGAGAACAGGAGUUGGGACGUCAUGUUGAGGUUGUACAAGACAUUGGUGAGGGAGCAAUGUGUCCAGUUCUGGUCACCCAGUUAUAGGAAGGAUAUUAUCAAGCUGGAGAGGGUUCAGAAGAGAUUUACCAGGAUGUUGCCGGGUAUGGAAGGUUUGAGUUAUAAAGAAAGGCUGGGACCUUUUUACACUGGAACGUAGAACGUUGAGAGGCGACCAGAUAGAAGUUUAUAAAAUUAUGAGGGGCAUAGAGAGAGUUAAUGGUAGGUGUCUUUUCCCUAGGAUGGGGGAAUUUCAAGACGAGGGGGCACAUUUUUAAGGUGAGAGGAGAGGGAUUUAAAAAAGACACAAGCAGCAAAUUUUUUACACAGAGGGUGGUUCAUGCGUGAGAUGAACUUUCAGAGGAAGUGGUGGAUGUGGGUACAGUUACAACGUUUAAAGGACAUUUGGAUAAGUACAUGGAUGGGAAAGGUUUGGAGGGAUAUGGGCCAGGAGCAGACAGGUGGGACUAGUUUAGUUUGGGAUUAUGGUCGGCACGGACUGGUUGGGCCGAAGGGUCUGUUUCUAUGCUGUACAACUCAAUGACUUUGUAACUAAAAGGAUUCGGUUACGACGAUCGGAGAGGAGAUGCACCCUGUAAAAAGCAGAAUGGACAACUUAUCGAAUCCUGUGGCCCUACUGAACUGUAUUUCGCCAGUAGUUUUCUGGUUGUUUGUGUUUAUUUGUACGUGUGUGCAAGGGUUUAGAAUUCCAAACAAGUAGAUUGAUGUCUGUAAGUCAUAUGUUUGUGAAUCUGUAGUUGGAUUGAAAGUAGUUGGAUUGAUUGUAGUUGAAAAUGGAUUCAUAAAUUGUAGUUUUUUGCUAA